RNAcentral lists this ribosomal RNA (497 nucleotides) under uncultured bacterium. RNAcentral's name for it is "partial 16S ribosomal RNA". It matches the Rfam family "Bacterial small subunit ribosomal RNA", at positions 28 to 507 of the family's 1533-position model. The record is from RNAcentral.
GAUGAACGCUGGCGGCGUGCCUAAUACAUGCAAGUCGAGCGAACGGACGAGAAGCUUGCUUUUCUGAUGUUAGCGGCGGACGGGUGAGUCACACGUGGAUAACCUACCUAUAAGACUGGGAUCACUUCGGGACACCGGCGCUAAUACCGGAUAAUAUUUUGAUCCGCAUGGUUCAUUAGUGAAAGACGGUCUUGCUGUCUCUUAUAGCUGGUUCCGCGCUGCAUUAGCUAGUUGGUAAGGUAAAGGCUUACCAAGGCGACGAUGCCUAGACGACCUGAGAGGGGGAUCGGCCACAUGAGAACUGAGACAGCGUCAAUAGUCCUACGGUAGGCAGCAGUAGGGAAUCGUCCGCAAUGGGCGAAAGCCUGGCGGAGCAACGGCGCGUGAGUGAUGAAGGUCUUCGGAUCGUAAAACUCUGUUAUGAGGGAAGAACAGAUGUGUAAGUAACUGUGCACAGCUUGACGGUACCUAAUCAGAAAGCCACGGCUAACUACGUG